CCUACGGGUGGCAGCAGUGAGGAAUAUUGGUCAAUGGGCGCGAGUCUGAACCAGCCACGUCGCGUGAAGGAUGACUGUCCUACGGGUUGUAAACUUCUUUUAUAAAGGAAUAAAGUGAUGCACGUGUGCCUGUUUGCAUUUACUUUAUGAAUAAGGAUCGGCUAACUCCGUGCCAGCCGCCGCGGUAAUACGGUGGCGCCGAGCGUUAUCCGGAUUUAUUGGGUUUAACGGGAGCGUAGGUGGGUUGUUAAGUCAGUUGUGAAAGUUUACGGCUCAACCGUAAAAUUGCAAUUGAUACUGGCAGUCUUGAGUACAGUAGAGGGAGGCGGAAUUCGUGGUGUAGCGGUGAAAUGCUUAGAUAGCACGAAGAACUCCGAUGGCGAAGGCAGCUUACUAGACUGCCACUGACAUUGAUGCUCGAAAGUGUGGGUAUCAAACAGGAUUAGAUACCCCUGUAGUC
Molecule: ribosomal RNA, 460 nt
Filed under: uncultured bacterium
Lineage: Bacteria
Description: partial 16S ribosomal RNA
Rfam family: Bacterial small subunit ribosomal RNA
Source: RNAcentral